UUUUCUAAAAUUAUUAGGUAGAAUUUUAUUUUUAGACAAUGACGAUAAUUUAUAAACUUAAAAACUAUAGUAGGGACCAGGAUUAGAUACCCUGUUACUUAUAAAAAAUAUGUUUUGGACUAGUAGUAAAAAUGAAAUUUAACGGAUUUGGCGGCAAGAUAGCCAUUUAGAGGAACCUGCCCUAUAAACGAUGAACCACGAAUACCUUACUUUUUUUUGAGAUCAGUUUGUAUACCGCUGUUGGCAGUUAGUUUCAUUAGAAAACUUUCGUUAAUAAUAUAAUUAUUGACUUCAAGUAAAGGUGCAGCAAAUAAAAAAGACAGAGGUGGGUUACAUUUAAUUGAAUAAAACGGAUAAAGUUAUGAAAUUGCUUUUGAAGGUGGAUUUAAUAGUAAAGUUUAAUAAAACUUGAUGGGAGCUCUGUCUUGUGUACACACCGCCCGUCGCUCUCUUUUUUAAA
This 460-nucleotide ribosomal RNA is filed under the name Amphibalanus amphitrite. RNAcentral describes it as "partial 12S ribosomal RNA". The stretch from base 117 to 460 matches the Rfam family "Microsporidia small subunit ribosomal RNA", at positions 751 to 1215 of the family's 1311-position model. The record is from RNAcentral. Lineage: Eukaryota; Metazoa; Arthropoda; Thecostraca; Balanomorpha; Balanidae.